UAUAGAUCUAUAUGGGCUUGACAACCCACGCCGUGACUGUUAGCUACAGUCCACCAUUUGGGUUGACAAACGUCAUAACAUUCCAACGCCUGAAGAACGUUGUGUAUAGGCAUUCCGAGUCAAUAGUAUGGUUAUAAAACUCACAUGGGGUAUUCAAAAUGCAUUGAUUUACAAGGUUUUCAAACACAUUGGUUAUUUUACACUUACAUACAUUUUAAAAACCAACAUUGGUCUUGAGAGAAGGCUACUUUUAUACUAGUAGAAAAUAUAGGAUUUUCUAAACACAACACAACCAAGGACAAAACAUUUCAUUUCAUACAAACAUUGUCAUUUAAAUACUUAUGAAACUCACCAGCUUAAAUGCUAAUCUACUCUUUCAAAAUUACUUGUAUGUCCCAGGGAAUCAGUAAUUUCAGGUAUCAUUAUGCUUUUGAUGAAGGGAUGAUGCGGCGCCAGUUUAAUCUCUUAUUUUGACAUCAUAUUGUAAUUGGUUUUGAACAUGUAACUUUUUGAAAAAUGUAAACUUUCAAUUAUAUAUAUGAUGGUUGUAUUGCUUUCUUUACUAUGUAUUCAAUUGUUACGUUACCACAUGAAGUCAUCCGCCCUCGAACGUUUCCGCCGUUCAGGUUUGGGGGUGUGACAAAUCCUUUGAUGGCGUUAUAAAAGAUUUGCAAAUUGUUACAAAAGAACGACAUGUUCUUUUUGUACAAGAUGUGAAGAAGGUUAGGGAAGAUGUUAACUUAAAAAUUGAGGAGUUAAAGAAAGAAAUUGAAAAGGAGCUUCAAGAGCUUAAUUCGCAAAAUUUGGAUGUACAAAAACGUGUUGAUAUUGUUGCUGAAGCACUUACCAAUCUUGCUACUGAUUAUCAACCGUCUACUCAAAUUAUCGAAGCCAAGCAUCAAGAAAAUAAGGAGCAGUUUUCAAAAUUAAUUCAGUUGGUGACUGAAUUAAAAAGUUGUGUUUCGCAACCUUCUCAAAAAUCAAUUCUUACUCCGGAAUUUUUAACGCUUAAAGUCAACACUUUGGAGCAAGCUAUUCAGAAGGUGUUGGCCCCAAUUACUAAUUUUACUUCCGUCUUACCGAAGAAUGCCCCGCCUGCUUUCACAGGGGUGCAAGGGGGAGAAAUAAAAGGAAAUAAAGGAGAGGAUGCGAAAAUUGUUGGGAAGAUACAUUCAACUCAGCUUAAAACAACUUUGCCUGUAAUCACGAAACCAAUUCCUUCAACAAUAGUAACAACGUAGCCAAUUUCUAAGGGAAUUACAAUUGGUUCAAUAGAAGGAGGGAGUUCAAGUGCGAAACCUCAAACAAUGAAUACUGGAAAAGGCAAAGAGGUGGUUAUUGAAAAGUUAAAAGAAGAAAAGAAAGCUGAGGUUGAAGCUGAAAUGGAAAAAUAAAGUUAAAUUUAGAGCAUACUAAGGCAAAGAGCAAGUGACCCACCAACUUUGAACAAGGGUGAUCCUGCGAAGUUGUACUCAUUUGAAACCAUUGAAUCCAAAGUCUUGGGGAAUCACUUGUACGAGUUUGAGAAAAAGCCUAGAAGAAGUUAUGAUGUUGCGAAUUCAGACAGAUGCCAACUUGAUUUUCCAAUAAACGAAAUGAUGUUUAUUACGGCGCAGUACAAGAUCAGUGAAAAUUUUGAAAAUGCUGAUGAAUACACUUACUUGAAGAUCAGAUUUCAUGCUGUACUUGCGAAGGAUCAAGAGGAAGUUUGGUCUUUAAUGAAAAUCAAGAAAGCUCUAACAAUCAAGAAGGAUGUAAUGUUCGAGAACAUGCUUCAAAACUUUCGAUAUUUCAUGGUUCGUGUAGAUGACAAGGCAUUUGAUUUUACCAUUGCUGAUUUUCCCUUGAUGAAUCUAAAUGAUCUCAUUCAAGUGGCAUUUAUCCUUUAAGACAUGGAAGAAAACAAGCUAAAAGGAUAUGAUACUGAUGUGUUUAGAUUUGGUUUCGCACAUAUCAAGAUAUUCAUAGAUAACUACUAUGAUUGCUUGGCAUUGACUGAUGAAGAACUUGCAUCAGGCGUUGGAAGAAAAGUUACAGGCUCUUGGGAAUCAACUUUGCCUCAAACAGAAUUAAAGAAGUAUGCAGAUGGAGAAAUAUGCCUUAAACCUUUUGGCAUGGUUUUCGCAGGCAAAGAUACAAAGGGGAAGCCUAAGAGGUUUUUGUUUAAAGUCUCAGAGAUAGAAAGAUACACCACUUCGCAAUAUACGAAUUUCAGUAUUCGUAUGAAUAAUUGCACGAAGAAUAAUGAAGGAGACAGGAAGGAGCUUAAAAAGAUAAUCACUUGGUAUUCUGAAAUCCGAAGAACAUUGCACUCAGCUGUUCAGAAUCUCACAAACUGAAUAGCUUCGACUGUUUACAAAGGGGGAGAAUGUAGAGUCUAGAUAUUGUAAAAGUCGAAGUGCUUGUUUUCUUUAGUUUUGCAUGUUAGUUAUUUUACUAAGUCUUCAUUUGUGCGAAGCGUAUAGUUCAGGAGUUAGUAUAUUUUUUGUACACUCAGGUUUCCUAUAAAUAGGGACUGAGGUUAGAAGUAGAGACAUCGAAUACACGAGUGAUUCAUUAAUCAUUCGCAAGUUCUCUCUGCUUAAGUCUGUAAUCAGUUUCUUCAUCAAUAUAAGAUCUAAUUAAUAGUUACUUCUUGUGUUCUUAAUUUUCAUUCAUAUAAUCAUGAUUGCUUUCUAAAUCUUGAUUACAAUUCUCUUCAAAAUCUUUAUGCCAAUAAAUUUACCCACAACCCAACCCCAAUCAAUAUCAACAAAAACCAUUCCAAUACCAACCACAACCUUCUUAACCACAACAUUCUCGACCACAACCUUCUAAUACUCAAAUUUCUGACGACGAUGACAUAAUUGUUGCAUAUACUCAAGAGACGAAAAAAACGUACCAAGAAAGAAAAAUAAAACGAUGGUUCUCAACAGAAGAUGACAAAAGUGGAAUGAAGAAAGGAAACGACUUUGUCGUAAGCUUGGAUUUUGGUAUCCGACAAUUCUUAAAAAAAGAAGCAAUAAAUCUUCAACAACUUUUUGGGAGCAAGUUUUAACACAAUUUAUUUAAUAAUAUAAUGCAAAAAUGCAUAUACCGGAGCUACGACGACAUAAACAGAAAAUGACGCAAGUUGAGGCAAGAUUGCACAAGCUUUAAUGACAUAUUUAAUAAUCUUUAAAUUAUGCAUGCUAGUGGUACAAACGAUUUCAACAUUUUGGGUACGACACUUGAAAGUUAUAAAAACACAAAGGGAAACACUUACCCAUCAAAAAACAUGGAAUAUAUAUCAUAGGGGCCAAAGUGGGUCCUUAAACUAGAUUCGACUUCGCAAUCUAGUGAAUCGAAAUGAUUGAGAAUAGUAUAAACAAAUGUCGGUUGAAGAGUCGAUGUCAAUGAAGAGUAUGAGGAGUCUCCACCGGAGGUAACAUUGAAGCGACCGAUUAGAAGAGAUAAGGCUAGAUGAGAGGUAUCAUCAUCAACUAAAAACAUCACCGAAAUUGUCACGGAUAAGCUUGCAUCAAAACCCGAUAUACAUUACGAAUAUGUUAAUAAGAAUUUCUAACAAAAAGGAAAAAUCACUUUGGAACAAACUAAAAUGACUAUGAAUCAACAAAUGAUGGACGAUAUGCAAAUGUUGAACAUGGAGCCGAAUCGAAAUAUUCCGGCAAGAGAUCUCGAGGGAGUCAACAAAAUGAAAGAUAAAAUUAACGUAAAACAUAACAUUUAAUAUUUCUUAUUUAAGUUUCAUUUAGAUGUUUUUUAAUUUUUAUGUAACUUUUUAGUUAUAUUAAUGUUAUUUUUUUAAUUAAUGCAUUUUAAAUUUUAGUUUUUAUCAAUGUAGGUUUUUAAAUUAAUGUACAUUUACUUUUAAUUUUUAUGUAUUUUUAUUUAAUUUAUUGAAAAUAAAUUUACAUAGAUUUUCUAUUAAAAUAAAUAAAUAAAAUAAUAUGAUAUUGGUGAGGUGGAAUAGUGACAAUUUCAAAAAAAGAAAAAUAUAGGAACCGGUAUGGAGUGAUUGUGAUGUGACCAUGAAUUGUCUGCACUUUUGAAAUGGUAGAGUGAUGAUCACUUGUAAUAAUAGUCUAACGCCACAUUAUUGUCAUUGUAUACAUGAGUUAGUUAUAUUCUGUUAGUCAGUUCUUUCAUACACGCUCUUUUGUUUAUAUGUGUAAAUAGUUAAGAUUCUUUCUCUCUGAGAGAGGGAGAUAACAUAUUCACAUACCUCACUCUGGUCGUUUCUUUACCUCAACAACAAACAUGAAUGAAAACCAGAAGCUUGUAUUAAAAUAUAUACUAAAAAACCAGAAGCUUGUAAAAAUAUACUUGUCUUAAUUUGUGUUGAACCACCAACAAGUUUUGAGUGAUCAUACAAGUUCAAGUAAAAAGAAGUAUACUUGUCGUAUUCUAUACUAGUUUUGAUGAGGGUUCUUUUUGUAAAAAGAAACAUAUUGCGGUGCAGUCGUCCCUUUUUGACGAAGGGAACUUUUGUUUCCAGGCAGCAGUUGCUGCUACAACAACUGCUUUUGCGGCUGAUUCUUCACUAUCUGCUGACCACACGAUUGAUGCUACUGUGUUGUUGCUAAGCACAUCCCACACCUGAUAAAUGUUUUUUCGGGUCAAUAAAUUUGUAUGGAUGUACCAAAUAAAAUGUAUAAAACCACACACGUUUUAUUAGUUAGUGGUCCAAAACUACUCUGUUUUAUUUACACAUCAUGAUGAGACCGGCAACUGGCAAGUAUUCAAUAUGAUGAGCACAUUUUUAUUGAGUUUGGUUUUUGCCUUGAAUCAAAAUCAAAAUGGAAAAGAUUCAGUUUUUUAAUUAGCCUUAAAAACCAAUAUUUUCAGUUUCCCUUUCCGGUUUCUUGAGUUCAUUUGGGUCCUUUUCCGGGGAUUUUGAGUUUUCAACUUUUGGGUUGCAUAAAGAAAUAAAUAUAACAAUUUGUUGAGGCCAAAAUCAAUGAAAGAAUAGUAAAGUGUUGAAUUUUGUAAUAUACAAUAGCAAGAAAAUUUUAGACAUUCAUAUAUAUANNNNNNNNNNNNNNNNNNNNNNNNNNNNNNNNNNNNNNNNNNNNNNNNNNNNNNNNNNNNNNNNNNNNNNNNNNNNNNNNNNNNNNNNNNNNUAUAACAAAUUGGCGUGUAAUGAUAUUAAAUAAAUCAUCAAGUAAGGAACUUCAAGUGAUGUUCGAUUUUUAGUUUAAAACAAAAGAAUCAAACCGUAGUUUUUGGGUGUUAGUUAGUUAGUUAGUUCGGUUUUAGCUUCAACAUGUGACUUACCCCGUCGCUUGCAAGAACAAGAAACUGAUCCUUGGGGGUCAAUCGGUGAUAAGAGACAUCAGGAACCGCAAUAAUCCCAUGACUUUUUAGUACAAAAUCCCCAAAAGCGCGAGACAUGGCAAGCCCCGGUGAGUCAUGAUGUGGUAACCACACUCGAUCUAUAUGUGGUUCUUCUCUUAGCGCCAUCACCCUACCAUUUGACUUCCUUAUUCGAUCUGCUUCAGCUGCUCAAAAGUUUAAUCGUUACUUCAUAUAAAAACAAACGAUCUCAGAAUAAUCAUAUAGUAUAAACACUUACAAGGUACACUUGGUUUGAGAUCAAUGGUCAAUUGCACAGGCGUAAUUCCAUUUUCAGCAAUUGUUCCUAGCACUGCUCUCGAAUCACCAAGAUUAGCAAUAACCAGAUCUUCACCCUGUCAAGUGUCAAACCAAACAGCUCAGUUGGUUCACUGCUAGAAAUGGUUCAUUAGAGACACAGAUUAAUUUAUUAGAAGAUCAACUAUAUGCAUGGAUAAUAGGAGACAUGUGGUACCUGUUUGAUAACAAUAACAGCGGUUGUGCCGCUACAGGAACAAUCUACAUGCUCGAUAACCUUAAUCUCCUUGUCCAUGACUUUGAAGGCACCAAAACAUGCAUCUCUCCAAAUCUGGAAAUCUUUGGACUCAUUCUCAUCAUCUUCAAUUACUGUUUUCCCCUUUGCUAUGCUGGAAUUCCUUUCGUUAAUGAUCAAUGAUGGCAACUUAUUUCUCACAAAUUUACUCACUAUUUGACCAUUCCUUCCAUGGCCAUCAAACACCCCACCAAAUGCUCCAUCUUCCAUUCCAUAGUCCUUCAUCAACAAUCAUAUCAUCAUUUAAAAUAAAAAAUUGUGAUAUAUAUAUACCCAUUGAUCAGAUUUGGCACAUACGAUCUAUAGAAGGAAAAUGGUUGAAUCACAAGGAGCGAGAUAGCAAACCUGGUAAAGAAUGGCAGCAUCUUGGUUGAAUCCUUUGGAUCCUUGAUGUGUAUGGAUGGAGCCAAUUCUUUUAUCAGAAGGGGUAUGUUGGUAAUAUAUGAUGUUGUCAUGGCCAUAGUCAAUCUCAUGAAUCUCUGGAGAUGCUCGGGAUAUGCAGAUACCCAUUACAGAUUUUUAUAACCAAAGGCUUCUCAAAAUGACCUCUUUAUAUAAACUCAAAUACACAAUUAUAUUCUAGUAAUUGUGGGUGGAGGAGUCCCAAUCCCAUACAACCCAUUUGGUUUUUUAUAUGAAAGCUUAUGUAACUGUUUAAUUAAGCAAUAAAGUCAAAUUAUUUGUUUUAGUAUGCAUUGGGUUUAUUAGCAAGAAAUCGAAUCUGAAAAGACAAGCAUACGUAGUUAAAUAUAAUAUAUACGUAUACUUAUUCAAUAAUAAAAUAUUGUAUAAAAAUUUAAAACAAGGCAAGUUGUGGCCGAAACAUCAAUUAUGCAACAUUUCAAUAUUUAAUAAUCAAUAGAAUAUACGUUUUACCGAAAAAGUCAAAUUCUAUGAGUCAUUGCCUAUCCUUUAUUUGUUCAUUUAUAUUAACUUCUAAUAUAAUAAUCGUGAUUUUAAAAGAGAGUAAUGAAUGAAAAUAGAAUAUUUUAUAAAAGGAAAAGAGUAGCCCAAGACUCGGUUGAAAAGGCAUCUUAGUUGUAUCACCGAAAGCUUCGGGUCGAAACAUUGCUCGUUGUCAACACCUAAGUCGACCACUAUAAUAUGACGAUGAUCGUGUUGUUUCGAUUAUAUAAAUCCUUUAAACCUCCUUACCACACCUGGCGUUGCAAACGGAAAGUUAAAGUAUAUAUAUCCAAAACUAAAUGUGUAUUUUACGAGUUUAUUUAAAUAAAAUUAAAUUUAAAAACAAUAAGAAAAAUGUUGAAUUAUUAAAAUUAAAAUGUCUUUUUUCUUUUAAAUUUAAACAAAUAAUUUAGAUAAAUAAACAAAUAAGCUAAAGAGACUUUAGCUUAAUAAUUUGGAAAUUAAAAGGAAAGUCCAUUAAUAAAAUUAAUAUGCAUUUCUUAUUACAUUUAAAUAUUAUGUGAAAUUUAAUAAAAUAGAAAAAACCAUAAAAUAACAUGUGGAAAAAAAUAAAAUAAUAAGAAAAAUUCAUAUCCCUAUACUAAUAAAAGAGUAGUUGUUUUGUCAUGUGUCACCAUAUUAGACAUCCUAAUUAAUAUGAUGCCACUUGUCAAUCAAUUAAUUCUUCAUUUCAAAUUUAUUAGACCUCCUGAUUAAUGUGAUGUUAUUUGUCAAUCUAUUUAUUUUCCGUUUUCCAUUUUAAAUUUUAUAUUAUUGUUUAAAUUAGUUCUCAAAUAAAAGUUAUCCGAUAUAAAUUAAAAAUUAAUUUCACAUAUUUAUUUGAAUCAACGAAUAUAAUUUUACAUAACUAAUAAAAAUAUCUCUUAAUUAAUAAUUUACUUAAAAUAAUUGAUUAACAAUUUUGAAUUUUUACAAUGAAAUUUUAAUUAAUUUUGUAACCGUGAUUCUCACGGGUUAUAAAUUAGUUAUAUAAUACAUUAGAAGAUGACAAGUGAUAAAAUUGUUUUCACUUAUUGACGAGGAAAUAUUUUUUUCUUUUACAUUUAAACAAAUAAUUUAGAUAAAAUAAACAAAGAAAACUAAUGAGACUUUAGUUUAAUAAUUUUGAAAUUAAAAGGAAAGUUAAUUAAUGAAAUUAAUAUGCAUUUAUUAUUACAUUUAAAUAUUAUGUUAAAUUUAAUAAAAUGGAAAAACAAAAUGACGUGACAUGUGGGAAAAACAAGGAAAAUAAUAAGAAAAAAACCAUGUGACAUAAUGUAACACCCAAAUUUUAAAAAAAAAAAUUCACAAUUUUAAAACAUACUUUCAUUUAUAAAAUAAUAAUAAACAUAAUGUAUCCACUGUCAUCAUAGAAAAACAUAUCCCAAAAUCAUAUAACAAAAGCUCCAUGAGUGUGUACGGAUUAAGCCAGCGCCUUCCCGCGAUCAUCACUAGUACCUGAAACACAUACAAAAAACUCUUAAAGCAUAAAUACUUAGUGAGUUCCCCAAAAUACCACAUAAACACAUAUCAGCCACUCAAGGUUGUAACUCUAAUGACCCUCUGGUCGAAUAUCUCUGUGGGACCCUCUUGGUCCCAUAACUCUGUGGACCCACUGGUCCUAACUCUUUAAACUCUGAAUCAUGCAUAUCAAAUAUCACAUAGGAUCACAACACAUAAAUAGCAUACAAGGUACACUGUCACAUAGCUCUAAUUACCACUCUAGGUAAAGUAUGGUGAGAAGACUCACCUCGGGAAUCUCGGUAAAAUCUCGAUAUCAGAAUACUGCCCUAGCCUCCGCCUAGUCAUAAUAAUAAAUUUCACUAAAUAAAUGUCUCUUUACAAUUUGGAUAUUCUCUCAUGCAAAUCCCUAGAAGGGUAAAAGACCAUUCUACCCCUCUACAGGCCCACGACCCAUUUGUUGACAAACCGUAAAAGUCAACCCAAAAGUUAACUAUCCAUUUUGAUCGGACUCGCCGAGUGCAUACGAAGACUCGGCGAGUCCCAUCGUCCCCACAGACUCUUCCUUUUCUAAGCCUCACUCGACUCACUGAGUCACCCCUCAACUCACUGGGUCACCACUAGAGUCAGACCCCGAGGCAACCCCGUCCGACUCGUCGAGUCUACAUAUGGACUCGGCGAGUUUCCUCCAUUGACUUGCUCAAACAACCUUCUGAGGUCAGAUCUGCUUAGCCAAAUCAUAUCAUAGAUCUAACCCUUAAACACUCAAAAGUCACAUAAAGGUGCAACCUUUACGUGCAUGCAACCCGAUUCAAGCCUCAAAUGGAGAAAUGACACUAGAAAUGGCAACCUAGUCUCCAAUUGCUUAUUUACUUGCAAAAAGCUAGAAGGUAAUGACUCUAGGGACCUAUCAUGGUCUAGAUCUGAUGUCAUAAUCCCAAAUAGGACCUCAUACUCACUAGAUCUUCCAUAAAAUGAGGGUAAAAACCCUAAAAUCAAGAAGUCCAUCAAUAUAACACGAAAUGGAAAGGAUUAUACAUCCAAAGAUAUCACGAGAUGAUUGGCUCAGAUCUAGUCCCUUUCACACUCUAGAUUUGUGCUCCUCACUUCCUUCAAGCAAAAGCACACAAAAAAGAUGAAGAAAUGGCCUCCUAUUGCCCUCAAACUCACUAUCUCAGCUCUCUAGGGUUUCUCUGGAACAAGGUAGCCGCAAAUGAAGGCCAUAAAGGUCCUUAAAUAGGCUUCCAAAUCGGGGGAUUAGUGUUUUCCUAAUCAGCACCGACUCGGCGAGUCAGGUCCUGACUCGUCGAGUCCANNNNNNNNNNNNNNNNNNNNNNAUUCGCAAAAAUGCGCAAAUAGAUCAGACUCUACUCGACGAGUUGAGGCAUCAACUCGUCGAGUUCCUCAAGAAAACAAUAAAUAAAUAAUUAAACUAACAUACCCGAACUCAGGAUGUUACAAUUCUCCCCCACUAGAAUUAGACUUCGCCCUCGAAGUCUCGCUCUGCAAAUAACUCUGGAUACUGCUCACACAUCUCAAUCUCUGGUUCCCAUGUCAGCUCGGAUCCCUUCCGAUGUUGCCACUGAACCUGCACCAAGGAAACCUCCUUGUUUCUCAAAACCUUGAUUCUCCGAUCCCGAAUCGCAAUUUGCCUUUCAACAUAAUUCAGGCUCGCAUCCACCUGAAUAUCCUCUAACGGUACCACCGCCGAUUCAUCGACAAUACACUUCCUCAACUGAGACACGUGGAAGGUAUCAUGAAUCUGACUCAACUCCGCAGGUAACUCCAAACGAUACGCUACCCUGCCAACCCUCGCAAUCACCUAGAAUGGACCAAUAUACCGAGGCCCCAACUUGCCUCUCUUCCUGAACUGGAUCACACCUUUCCAAGGUGACACCUUCAGGAGAAUGAAAUCACCAACCUGGAACUCGAGCUCUGAGCGACGCCUAUCUGCGUAGCUCUUCUGACGACUCUGAGUCCUCAGUAACCUCUGCCUGACUUGCUGUAUCUGCUCAGUCAUCUGAAGUACUAUCUCCGUGCUACCCAUCACUCGUUGUCCUACCUCUCCCCAAUAGAUGGGAGUUCGACACUUCCUCCCAUACAACAACUCGAAGGGAGGCAUACCAAUGCUCGAAUGGUGGCUGUUGUUAUAGGAAAACUCAGCCAAAGGCAAAUACGUGUCCCAACUCCCUUCGAAAUCCAACACACAAGCCCGAAGCAUGUUCUCCAGUGUCUGAAUCGUCCACUCACUCUGUCUGUACAUCUGUGGGUGGUAAGUGGUACUGAAAUGCAGCCUAGUACCCAACUCCUCAUGGAACUUUUUCCAGAAUCUGGAAGUGAAAUGCACAUCUCGAUCUGACACAAUCGAGAUCGGUACACCAUGUCAUGAUACCACCUUCCUCACAUACACCUCUGCCACCUCUCCGCAGAAGAUCUCUCGCUGAUAGCAAGAAAAUGAGCGCUCUUUGUCAGCCACUCGACGAUCACCCAAAUUUCAUCGACGCCUCUGGCAGUCCUCGACAAUUUGGUGAUAAAGCCAUGGAAAUAUGUUCCCACUUCCACUGGGGAACCUCAAGCGGCUGCAACUUGCCAUGUGGACACUAGUGCUCGGCCUUAACCCUGCGACAGGUCAAGCACCUCUCUACAAACCACGCCACAUCCUUCUUCAUACAGGGCCACCAAUAGUCUCUUUUCAGGUCCAAAUACAUCUUAGUGGCCCCGGGAUGGAUCGAAAACUUCGACCUGUGCGCCUCCUCCAUCAAAAUGGCACGUGGUCCCCCCUCAAAUGGCACCCAAAUCCGACCCUGGAAGGUCAUAAGCCCCCAGUUAUCGGCAAUGAACUCAGAUAUCUGUCCAAUCACCCGCUACCGAUUGCGUUUCUCCGGUCUCAUGGCCUCUACCUAGGCCUCCCGAAUGGUGUCCAACACCGGAGUCAUCACUGUCAACCUCAGACAAACAUCUCACAAAGGGGCACUCUCUGCCCUGCAACUCAAGGCAUCGGCUACCACGUUAGCCUUGCCCGGGUGGUAUAGGAUCUCACACCCAUAAUCCUUUACCACAUCCAACCAUAUCCUCUGACGCAUGUUCAAGUUGGGCUGAUCCAUCAGAUACUUCAAGCUCUUGUGGUCCGUGUAUAUGGUACACCGAACCCCAUACAAAUAGUGACGCCAGAUCUUAAGGGCGAACAUCACAUCCCCCAACUCCAGAUCCUAAGUAGGAUACCUCGUCUCAUGAGGCUUCAGCUGCCUCGAUGCAUAUGCUAUCACAUGCCCUCUCUGCAUCAGCACCACACCCAAUCCCGAUAUCGACGCGUCAUAAUAUACCACAAAGUCCUCCAUUCCCUUCGGAAGGGCCAACACUGGGGCUUCGCAUAAUCUUUAGCGAAGUGUUUCGAAUGAGGCCUGCUGCUCCGAGCCCCAACUGAAAGUCACGCCUUUCCAGGUUAGUUUGGUGAGAGGAACAACAAUCCUAGAGAAAUCCUGGAUGAAUCUCCGAUAAUAACCAGCCAACCCCAGGAAACUCCUGAUCUCCGAAGGGGAUCUCGGCACCCCCUAACUCAUCACCGCCUCAAUCUUGGUCGGAUCGACCAAUAUCCCAUUCUGGUUGACGAGGUUUCCUGGAAACUAGACCUCUCGUAACCAGAAAUCACACUUGGAGAAUUUGGCAUAAAGCCUCUCCUAUCUCAGAACUCCGAGGAUCUCCCUCAAAUGCUUCUCAUGAUGCUCUCUGGAUCUCGAAUACACCAAUAUAUCAUCAAUGAACACGAUCACCGAACGAUCAAACAUCGGCCUGCACCCCCUGUUCGUGAGAUCCAUGAACGCUGCCAGUGCAUUGGUGAGCCCGAAAGGCAUCACCACAAACUCGUAAUGCCCAUAACGAGUCCUAAACGCUGUCUUUUGGAUAUCCUCAUCACGCACACUCAUAUGAUGAUAUCCAGACCUCAAAUCAAUCGUGGAGAACCAAGACGCUCCCUGCAACUGAUCGAACAAAUCGUCGAUCCUCGGUAAGGGGUAACGGUUUUUGACCGUCAGCUUGUUCAACUCCCGGUAAUCAAUGCACAUCCGAUGUGAACCAUCCUUUUUCUUGACAAAAAGGAUCGACGCUCCCCACGGCGAGCUACUCGGCCGUAUAAACCCCUUUCCCAGCAACUCCUGAAGCUGCAAGGAUAACUCCUGCAUCUCUUGAGGUGAAAGGCGAUAGGGUGCCUUGGAGAUAGGCGUUGCCCCGGAACCAAAUCGAUAUGGAACUCCACCUGCCUCUCGGGAGGCACACCCGGAAACUCCUCGGGGAAAACAUCCAGGAACUCAUGCACUAUCGGAACCUCAUCGACCGACCUUAGUCUCUCUGCACCUACCCUUGUAUCCACCACAUAAGCCACAAACCCACUACAGCCUUACUGUAGACUCUGCCUCGCCCUCGAGGCUGAACAAAAUGCUGACCUAUAAUGGUUACCCUCACCAUAAAUCGUAAGAACUCCCCUACUAGGGUCUCGUAUGGUCACCAACUGUCAUUCGCAGUCGAUAACCGCUCCAAAUCUGCUUAACCAGUCCAUGCCCACGAUGAUACAAACAUCUCCCACAGCAAUCGGGACCAAAUCAAUCGGAAACUCAACGCCUAAGAUCUCGAGUACACAUCCUCAAAUCACAUCAGUGGCAUACACUGUUCUCUCGUCAGCUAUGGAAACUCGCAAUGGUUGACUCAACGCUUCUCGACGAAUACCAAUGUGCUGACUAAAGGCUAACGAAACAAAAGACCGACUCGCACCCGAGUCAAAUAACACCAAAGAAGGUACAGAACACACAAGAAAUGUACCUACGCAUAUAACAACAUAAGCAUAACACCACAAACUCAAAAUAAACAGAAGAAAGAAUACAUACCAGCCACAACAUCGGGUGUUGCGCGGACCUCCUCCGCUGUCAACUGGAAGGCUCUCCCGCGAGCGUUCGGCGCCUCGGCCUUCACCGGUCGACUCUCCGUAGCUCGAACAGCAGCAGGGACAGAUCCCUGAGAAGCUCCCUGAGCUGACCCUCGUAACUGCGGACACAUAGACUUCCGGUGUCAGGUCUGGUUGUAGUUAAAACAAAUUGCAAACCCCUUGGGGAAAUCCUUGGCCAUGUGCCCCUCCUUGCCACACUUGUAGUAAGACCUUACUCUACACACCCCCUCAUGACUCUUGCCACACUUGCCACAAGUGCGGGCCUUCUGGUUCGCUGAUCUCGAAUCGGCGAGCUUAGCCCGCUUGGCAGCCGGAUGGGACUGUGUCGGUCGCCGAUUCUUUCCCUGAGACUCCGCCUCCUCCCUAGCAUGAGUCUCUAGCUCAAUCUCCCUCUUCCGGGCAUUUUCCUGAAGCUCGGAAAAUGUACGGUAUGUUGAGUUUGCCACUAACUCGCGGAUGUCUCUCCUCAAAGUACUCAAUGUACGGUAUGUUGAGUUUGGCACCAACAUCGCCCUCUCAUGAAACAUCCUGGUGAUCACUGUAACAGACUCGGUACCCUGCUUGAGGGUCAGAAACUCCUGGGCCAAACGUUCCCUUUCCACCAGGGGAAUGGACUCAUUUCGAAACAUAGUGGUGAACCUCUCCUAGGUCACCGCAGUGAUCUCUACAGAAGUGAAGUGUGCUGUCACAAACUUCCACCAGUCCUUCACUCCUAAGCGAAGCUGGUUCAAAGUGAAUCGUACCCUCAGAUGCUCCGGACAUGAACAUGUGUAGAAGCACCCCUCAAUGUCAGAGAUCCACCUCAUCGCGGCUAUUAGAUCUUGAGUCCCAUCAAACUCUGGUGGCUUCGUGUUGUUGAACUGCCGGUACAGCAACGCGUCACCCCCUGCGGCCUGGCAGCAGCAACGGAUGCAGUGGCUGCAGCAACAGCAACAUCAGUAAGAGCAGCAUACCGCUCAUCAAAAGUAUCAAUCAGUGUGGUCUUGAUAGACCCGAACAUCUCUGGAAUCUCGGCGCGGAUGGCCGCAGCCACCUCAUCAUGAAUCAUCUGGCGGAGCUCCUCAUCGCUCACACCCCCUCACUUGUCCCUGGCUUGUGGUGUGUCCCAACCAUGAUGUCUCUCUGAAAUACAACACAAGAUAUCAGAGACUCGCUCGCGUGUACACACACUCGAUAUCUUAUUCCUACUUGAUCCCUGGUACCCUAAGGAUUCUUACUUGGGUUGCGCACUGAUCCGGUGUCUUCGGUAGUACGGGCCCAAUACUAUGUCCCAAGUACUCUACUCUCUCUAUAGAUAGUCUACUCUCGACCAGAUCUCUCAUAAGCUCAUCACUGCUAUUUAUUCACUCUGAAGCAUCUGCUAGCAGCAAAAUCCCUAGGCCAAGGCAUCAAAAAUCAGGCCACUCUAGUCCUAAUAAGAAUACCUAGCCUACUCUAGCAUGCAUAUCAUAACAUAUCUCAUAACUCAUAAUGUAAGGGUAUUUUGGGAAAUCACCGUUUGGGCGUUGGCUGAUCGUACACACUACUCUGCUCUGCUUUUUCAAAAACUUUUUUUACUCUUGAGAAAAAUUUUAUGAAUUUUAUUUUGAAAAUCCCUCAAAUCCUCAGUUUGAGUUCAGAUACGCCUGAAGGUGCACUCGAAUCCCUCACACCAAGGCUCUGAUACCAACUUAUAACACCCAAAUUUUCAAAAAAAAAAUUCACAAUUUUAAAACAUACUUUCAUUCAUAAAAUAAUAAUAAACAUAAUGUAUCCACUGUCAUCAUAGAAAAACAUAUCCCACAAUCAUAUAACAAAAGCUCCAUGAGUGUGCACGAAUCAUGUCGGUGCCUUCCCGCGAUCAUCACUAGUACCGGAAACACAUACACAAAACUCUGUAAGCAUAAAUGCUUAGUGAGUUCCCCAAAAUACCACAUAAACACAUAUCAACCACUCAAGGCUGUAACUCUGAUGACCCUCUGGUCGAAUAUCUCUGUGGGACCCUCUUGGUCCCAUAACUCUGUGGACCCACUGGUUCUAACUCUAUAAACUCUGAAUCAUGCAUAUCACAUAUCACAUAGAAUCACAAAACAUAAAUAGCAUACAAGGUACACUGUCACAUAGCUCUGAUUACAAAUCUAUGUAAAGUAUGGUGAGAAGGCUCACCUCGGGAAUCACGGUAAAAUCUCGAUAUCAGAAUACUGCCCUAGCCUCCGCCUAGUCAUAAUAAUAAAUUUCACUAAAUAAAUGACUCUUCACAAUUUGGAUAUUCUCUCAUGCAAAUCCCUAGAAGGGUAAAAGACCAUUCUACCGCUCUACAGGCCCAAAGCCCAUUUAUUGACAAACCCUAAAAGUCAACCCAAAACUACUCUAUCCAUUUUGACCGAACUCGGCGAGUGCAUACGACGACUCGGUGAGUCCCAUCGUCCCCACAAACUCUUCCCUUUCUAAGCCUCACUCGACUCACUGAGUCACCCCUCAACUCACCGGGUCACCACUGGAGUCAGACUACGAGGCAACCCGGUCCGACUCGUCGAGUCUACAUAUGGACUCGGCGAGUUUCCUCCAUGGACUUGCUCAAACAACCUCCUGAAGUUAGAUCUGCUUAGCCAAAUCAUAGAUCUAACCCUUAAACACUUAAAAGUCACGUAAAGGUGCAACCUUUACGUGCAUGCAACCCGAUUCAAGCCUCAAAUCGAGAAAUGACACUAGAAAUGGCAACCUAGUCUCAAAUUGCUUAUUUGCUUGCAAAAAGAUAAAAGGUAAUGACUCUAGCGACCUCUCAUGGUUUGGAUCUGAUGUCAUAAUCCCAAAGAGGACCUCAUACUCACUAGAUCUUCCAUAAAAUGAGGGUAAAAACCCUAAAACCAAGAAGUCAAUCAAUAUAACACAAAAUGGAAAGGAUUAUGCCUCCAAAGAUGAUAUCACGAGAUGAUUGGCUCAGAUCCAGUCCCCUUCACACUCUAGAUUUGUGCUCCUCAUUUCCUUCAAGCAAAACCACACAAAAAGAUGAAGAAAUGACCUCCUCUUGCCCUCAAAAUCACUAUCUCAGCUCUCUAGGGUUUCUUUGGAACAAGGUGGCCGGAAAUGAAGGCCAUAAAGGUCUUUAAAUAUGCUCCCAAACCCGGGGAUUAGGGUUUUCCUAAUCAUCACCGACUCGGCGAGUCGGGUCCCGACUUGUCGAGUCCGUUCACGAAAAUACGCCAGUAGAUCAGACUCUACUCGACAAGUUGAGGUAUCAAAUCGUCGAGUUCCUCAAUAAAACAAUAAAUAAAUAAUUAAAUUAACAUACCCGAACUCAGGAUGUUACACAUAAUGUAUUAGAAGAUGAUAAGUGACAAAUUUAUUUUCAUUUAAUUGGAAAGAUUUUAAAAACUUGUUUUUUAAUUGAACUAGUAAGGUGGUCAGUUUCUGAUUACUAGUUUGACCACAAGAUCAACCCGAUUUCUAGAAUCACUUCAAAUAGAUUAUAAAAACAUAUAACCAUAAGUUUAAAAUCAAUCUACAUAUAUUUAAUAGAGAAUAAGAUAUAACACUUAAACAAUAUAUAAUUAAAAAUGAAUACAAACACAACAUACAACUUUAGAACAUUCUCAUGCAUUUUUAUUAAAUUUAAGAAAUGCCUAAAUGGAUAUGUAAAGACAAUCAAUGUUUAUUAUUCAAAAUACUUCAUUUCCAUGUAUUUUUAUUCAAUUCAACCGGUUCAACCAUUCAAAAGAUAAUCGAUUCAACAAAAUUUUUGUAAAAAUUGACCGGUUCAUUCAUGUCCUGAAAUAGACGUAAAAUUGGUGCUAGUUGAACCGCUCACUUUUCCGAUUUCUAUUCCAACAAGUUCGAACUAGUUUUUAANNNNNNNNNNNNNUAUAUAUAUAUAUAUCGUAUACUUUUAUGAAACCCUUUCAAGUUGGAAGACACGAUGGAUGUAACACUCGUGGUUCAGGUACAUUUUGAUAAUUGUUUAAAUUAAGUUUUGGGAGUAAGGGUUGUGGACUGCGGCAUGGUUAGUUUAAUGAGACCACAACAUAGUGGGCCUCUGAGGCCAAAACCCUAGAGACCUAGAGUCCUGAGCCCUAUUUAAGGGCACUUGUAACAUCUUAAAAUUUCAAACAAAAUUUUCAUUUUAAAAUCACAUAAUUCUCAUAACACAUUUCACAAAAAAUCCCAAUUAUUUAAUUACAAAACGUAACUUCAUAGUUGUUUGAUUGAUAAUCUAGGAUCCUCAAAACAUAACUCCUUUCUUUUGUGUACAAUCAAGCCGAUGAAUUCCAAAUUACAACAACAUAAUCGUGAAUCCCCUGUCACCGACCUACUUAUUCAUUUCCUGAGAAUACAAGUCAUUUGAAAAGCGUCAACAUAAAAUACGUUGGGGAGUUCAUAAGCAUUUUGUAUAAAAAUCUUUGGUAGUUGGUGAAACCAGAAAAUCCCAUAUUUUCUUAUCAAGUGGUUAUGAGUCCUGUUUCCAAUCAAGUGUAGUUGCAUGUGUUUUCCGGUUAAUUGUUUUUCGAAAUCGUAUAAAAUUGGUUUUCCUCAGAAAAUGCUAUAUUUUCUGCUGUAUAAAAAGGUGGUCUUAACACUCUAAGACGGGUAUGAUAAAAGCUUUGUUUGUAGUAUUCAAAACAAUAUUUUUCUAAAAUCGAAAGGUGUAACUCGAGUAAUUUUCCAAAACAUACUGUUAUAUUCUUAGUGAGUCGUUAUAACAUACUAAUAUGACGGAGUGCCUGUUCUAACGUUCUUCAGGCGUUGAUUUUGUUUGAGACAUUUGUCACCCUAGAGUGGCCGGUCUAGCUAUAGUGAACAGCGAAGGUGUGGGGUGUCAACCCCAUAUAGAUCUAUACACAAAUUUCCACUCCACCUCCAGGAGACUCUGGUUAUAACUCUUAUAGGACUAUAAGCGUACACUAUUAUGUACAUAUAUAGGUACUGUGAAGAUUCGUCUGACUAGAAUACUAACAGAUUUUUGAGCUAAACGUUAUAAUCUAUUAUUUAUUAUAUAAAUAACAAUGGGGUACUCGUUGACUAGAUAUUUCGUUUUCGUUUAUGGAAAAUAUUCCUUUGUAAAUUAGGCUUGUCAAAAUGACCCAAUAUUCUUAAUGUUGGCAAAAAUGGUCCUUCAUUUUAUAAUUUUCCAAAUAAGACUCAUUUUUGUCAAAAGGUGACUCAAAGCUAAGUGGUGUGUUGAAAGUGGUCUCUUUCCCUCAAAAUACUAGUUUAAGUAAAUUUUGACGUAAAUACUUAUGGUUUUUGUUAUAGAAACUUGUAACUUCUAUUUUGUGACAUGCUAGUUCUUGUUUCUUUGUAUAUUUUGGGAAAUAUGACUCUCACACAUGAAAGUUGCCCAAGAUUUCAAGUUCUUGAUAUUUUCAUAACUUUAACACAUAUAAUUUAGCAUACAAGUAUAACAAGCAAGUAAACUAAGACUUAAAACAAUUUUUUGACUUGCAUCCUCCCCCAAACACAAUAAAAAUCACGAAAAAGUAGGUGUAUGAUGCUCACAUUGAAUUGGUUGAUGAGUUGGUUUGAGUGAUGGAGUGAAGAUCCCAAGCCUAGAUUCUUGGGGGAGUUGAGGAACUUCCUUGGAAGGAAUGCUGUCCUAAGAGUUUUUCUCACAUAUUAAUAUGAGUAAAAUAAUAUGGCUUUAUCUUGAAAAUGAUGUAAAAUACUAGAUCAAUGGAGUAACUUACCUAAAAAUCUUAAGGAGAACUGGAAGAGUUGAGCCUUACAAAAUUCUUGCUUUUGCUCUUGCGGGGAGUAUUUGAGAGAAUAUGAGGGGAAUGAGAGAAAUGGUGAAGAUCAAGUUUCUUUUACUGUGGUUGCUUUAAGGGGUAAAAGAAAAAGGGGGAAAAGUGUGCAUGGAAAUAUGAAAGGUCAUGCAUUGUUAUUUGGUGGUUCUUGCAUGGAUUACUAGGAAUUGUAUGGGAAAUGGAAGAUUACAUCACAUCAAAAAGUCAAACCCUAUUACACCUAUCUUAUUUUCAUCAUGACCUACAGUUGAUAUCUUUAUAUACCUUAAGUCUUAUUUUAUGUAAAUAAGUUUUAGAUAUUCAAAUUUAGCAUAAAAUAGAGGUUUAGGGGGUCUAAGUUAUGAAAAGUUCCGAAGUAGGCAAAAUUCUGGAGUGUGAUCCAGAAUCUGAGAGGGUCCGAAGGGAAGUAGAGAGUUUCGGAGUCGGAUGGGUGAGUUCUGAAGUCAGGCCAUGCAUUCUGAAGACAAACCACAAGUUCCGGAGUCAAGGAGCGAAUUCUGGAGUCGUCUUCUUAACUCCGGAGUCGAUUACGAAGCCAACAAAUGCAGACCAGAGGUGCGAAGUUGGCUAGGAAUUCCGAAGCGGGUCACACGAUGCCUUCCAGAGCUAAACUUUCCGGAGUCAGCCCCUCUGGAGCUAGGAUAUGCAGUCAUUAGGGUCCGAAGCAGCUCUUCUUUUCUGUUGCGAGAUCUUCCAAGGUGAAAAUGUAUGGAUCGAAGCUAAGGCUUUCGGGGUGGAACAUUCUGGAGAGGGGGAGUGUUCCGAAGCAAAGGGGGAUCCGAGGUGCGAUUCUUCCCGGUUCCUUAGGAGGUAUUCCGAACUAAGAAGGUUUUGUUGGGUUUUCUCCUUCGGUUUUGAGCUGUUCCCGACUAAGGAAGAUAGAUAGAGAGAUUUGGGAUACAUAGAGAGAUUUGUAUAUACUUUGUAUUAUAAUUGUAAACAUACACCAGGAAACAUAGUCUUAAACCUUAAUGUAUUAGUACAAGUUGAGUUGUCUGGGUUGACUUGUUGACUUUAUUAGACCUAGAAUUGUCGGUUGUCACAUCGUUCCCCCGUUAGAGGGAAUUUCGGCCCGAAAUUCUUUUGAAAGGUAGGAUCAUGAAUGAGAGAAUAAGUGAGGGUACUUCUGUUACAUAUGGUCUUCGCGUUCCCAAGUGAAUUCCGGUCCAUGUUUAGUGUUCCGUCAAACCUUCACAAUCGGAAUGCGACUCUGUUUCAUACUCUUUACUUCCCUAUCCAUUAUCUAAACUAGUUCUUCAACAAACAUGAGGUUCUCGUUUAUCUCAAGCUCUUCUAGAGGAAUAACAAGGGUUUCAUCUGAUAAGCACUUUUUCAAAUUUGAUACAUGGAACAUGGGGUGUAUGUUGCUAAGCUCCGAUGGUAGCUAUAGUUUAUAGGCCACCGGACCAAUUCGGGCAAGAAUCUCGAAAGGUCCGAUGUAUCGCAGGUUUAAUUUUCCCCGUUUCCCAAAACAGAUCAUCCCUUUCCAGGGAGUGACGUUUAAUAGUACUCGAUCUCUGACUUGGAACUCCAGGCGCUUUCGUCGUUUGUCAACAUAACUCUUUUGUCGGUCACGUGAGGCUUGGAGUCGAGCUUUGAUUUGGAUUAUCUUUUCCUUUGUUUCUCGGAUGAUUUCUGGUCCUGUAAGGGUGUUGCUUGAUGGUUGCCCACUGAACAACUGUGUGUCACCCACUUCAGCCCAACAGAGGGGCGAUCUGCACUUCCGGCCAUACAGGGCCUCAAAGAGAGCGACUCCUAUGCUUGUGUGAUAGUUGUUGUUAUAGGAAAAUUCAACCAUGGGUAGCUGGCUAUCCCAGGAUUUACCAAAAUGUAUUACAAGUGCUUGAAGCAUGUCUUCUAGAGUCUAAAUGGUUCGUCCGCUUUGACCAUCAAUCUGUGGGUGGUAGGCAGUGCUCAUAUGCAGUCGGGUUCCCAAUGCUUUCUGGAGCGACUGCCAAAAACGAGAUGUGAAUCUACUAUCUCGAUCCGAGAUAAUAGAUAUGAAGACUCCAUGUAGUCUCACCACCUCCUUCAGUUAUAUUCGGGUUAGCCUUUCCAUUUUGUACGUUUCCUUUAUUGGCAGGAAAUAGGCGGAUUUUGUUAAUCGGUCAACAAUCACCCAAAUAAUAUUCAUGCCAUCUGUCGUCUUGGGUAAUUUGGUUAUAAAAUCCAUUAUGAUCCUUUCCUAUUUCUACUCGGGUAUUUCGGGUAGUUGAAGGAGACCCGAGGGCUUCUGAUACUCCACUUUUAACCUUGGCGCAAGUGAAACACUCACUUACGUAAAUGGCAAUCUCCGCUUUCAUAUUCGGCCACCAAUAAUGUUGUUUGAUAUCCAAGUACAUUUUAUCUGAACCCGGAUGAAUAGAGUACCUUGUUUUAUGAGCCUCAUUCAUUAUGACGUCUCAGAAUCCGCCAAACCUCGGUGUCCAGAUUUGGUCCAUAAGAUAAUAGGCUCUGUCUUCUUUGAUUGUUAGAUUCUUUUCCAUUCCGUGAAAGGCCUCAUUUGUGAUGUUUUUUGGCUUAUGUCGAGCCUCCUUGAUUUGUGAGGAUAGAUGGGAAUGGACGGUCAUUGUCAAUGUCUUUACUCAACGACUCGAGUAUUCCUUUUGGCUUAAGGCACCAGCUACCACAUUCGCUUUGCCUGGAUGCUACUUGAUUUCACACUCAUAGUCAUUUAGCAGUUCGACCCAUCUCGGCUCUCUCAUGUUUAAUUCCUUUUGAUUCAGAAUCUGCUGGAGGCUCUUGUGGUCCGUGAAAAUGCGGCACCUUGUACCAUAUAGGUAGUGCCUCCAAAUCUUUAAAGCGAAGACCAUAGCUCCCAUCUCAAGGUCGUGGGUGGUGUAGUUUACUUCAUGGGUCUUCAGUUGCCUUGAUGUGUAUGCUAUCACCUUUCCUCGUUGCAUAAGCACACAACUUAAUCCUUGAUUAGAAGCAUCACAAUAUACUACCAAGUCUUCUGUUCCUUCUGGCAACGACAACACCAGAGUGCUGCAGAGGGCUUGUUUCAGGGUUUGGAAUGCAGCUUCUUGUUUGUUGUACCAAUGGAAAGGUACACCCUUCUGGGUGAGAGUGGUGAGAGGCUUGGCAAUUUUGGAAAAAAUUUGGACGAACCUUCGGUAAUAACCUGCGAGGCCGAAAAAUUGUCGGAUUUCUGUUGGUAGGGUCCACAUUUAUUCCCUCUUUAAAGAGUACAUGACCAAAAAAUUCCACUCUACGAAUCCUGAAUUCGCAUUUUGAGAACUUUGCGUAAAGAUUCUAUGCUCUUAGUGUUCCCAAAAUCUGUCGUAAGUGCUGGCUGGGUUCCUCCUUGCUCUUAGAGUAAACAAGUAUAUCAUCCAUGAAAACAAUUACGAAAUUAUCGAGAGACGCCGACAAAGGCUGUUGGUGCGUUUGUGAGACCAAAAGGCAUGACUACGAAUUCGAAAUGCCCAUAACGGGUUCGAAAAGCAGUCUUUGGGAUAUCAUCCUCUCGAACUCUUAGUUGAUGGUAUCUGGACCUUAGAUCUAUGUUGGAAAAAUAACUUUCUCCUUAGAGUUGAUCGAAUAGAUCAUCUAUUCGGGGAAGUGGGUAUCGAUUCUUGACGGUGAGCUUGUUUAAUUCUCGAUAAUCUAUGCACAUUCUGAAAGAUCCGUCUUUCUUCUAGACAAACAGAACUGGAGCUCCCCAGGGUGAAAAGCUCAGCCUGAUGAACCCUUUUUCGAGAAGCUCGACUAGAUAACUCUUGCAUCUCGAAAGGAGCUAAUCCGUAGGGUGAUUUGGCGAUUCGAGUGGCUCUAGGUACAAGAUCGAAUAGGAACUCGACCUGGCGCUCAGGAGGGAUUCCUAGAAAAUCUUCAGGAAAUACGCCAGGGAAGUCACGUACUUCAGGAAUAUCGUUAAUGUUUUUCUCCUCCUUUGUUUUAUCCACGACAUGAGCAAGAAAGGCGCGAUUCUUUUUAUGCAAGCACUUUUGUGCUUGGACACAAGAAAUGAGUAGGAGGUUUGAGCUAGGUUUAUCGCCAUAAACUAUUAGGGUUUCGUCGUUGGGUAGGUGAAGGCGAACGACCUUCUCGUGAAACAUAAUUUCAGCAUGGUGGGGGCUUAACCAAUCCAUGCCAACAAUCACAUCAAAGCUCCCAAUAUUAACAUGAAUCAAACUGAUUGGGAAGGAGUGAUUGUUUAACGUUAAUGUGCACCAUAGGUAGAUAUCAUUGGUGGAUUCCAUUUUACCAUUGGCCAUUUCGACCGUAUAAGUUUCAUUCAAUUUGUGAGGAUUUUUAUUGAUUAAGUGUUUGAAUCUGUGACUUACGAAACUUCGCUCCGCACCACUAUCAAAAAAGAUGUAUACAUAAGAGUUGUUGAGGGGAAACGUACCAGUCACUACUGUUGGAUCUUGCAUUGCCUCCACUUGUCCCAUGGUUAAGACCCUUCCUGCAUUCUUAUUGUUGUUCUUGGGACAGUUGCCUUUAAAAUGGCCGAUUUCCCCGCAUCCGUAACAUGCAUGGCUAGCUUCGACGUUGUUUUCAUUGGGCUGCUUGUUUUGUUGUAAGGGCAUCUUGCAAUACUGGACAGUGUGUCCUUUUCGAUUGUAGUUGGUGCAUUCGAAAUCCUUGCAUGCCUCGCAGUGGUGAUAGUUACACUUGUCAAACUCGGGAUUUGAUCCUGUGUAUGGCUUUGUUGGCACGGUUGCGGUAGAGGCUGGGGCGGUUGGGGCUGGUGUGGCUGGAGCGGUAACUGAAUGGACUGCUACUGUCUGUGGUUUCUUGGAUGACCCUGAAUUUUGUCGACCUUUUUGUUUGUUCUCCCAGUUCUUUUUGUUCCCUCCUUCUUGUUUUCUCUCCCCUUCGGUUGUUUUGGUACUUUUCUUGUCACUGUGAUCAUAAAGUUUCUUGGCCAGCCGCUUUGCACUAUCAUAGGUCUUGGGUUUUGAGGCAAUCACGUUACCUUGAAUGGGAGGUGUCAACCUCCAGAUGACUCGCUCGACCUUCUUUCCCUAGGAUGUAAUUAUAUCAGUAUACAAAAGAGAUAGUUCGUUAAACCUCGAGAUGUACGUAUCAAUCUCCAAGUUAUGCACCGUAAGGUUCCACAGCUCUUUCUCGAGCUUUUGUACCUCCCCUCGGGGACAGUAGUCGCUGAUUAACAUUUCAUUGAAUUCUUCCCAGGGAAUGGCGUUUGCAACAGGGAGUGUCAUGGCCUCGAUGUGGCCGUUCCACCAUGACAAUGCCUGAUUGAUGAAGGUGCACGCCGCGAACUUUACUUUACUCCCUUCCAGACAUUCUCAUAUGUCGAACAUUGAUUCUACCUACUUGUCACACCCCCAAACCAAGGAUGGCGGAAACGUCCGGGGGGUGGAGGACUUCAUGUACAGUAUCACAACAACUUGUAUAAUAAUGCUCAAAGUAAAUACAACCAUCAUAAAUAUAAUUGAAAAAGUUACACCAAAGUAUAUGUUUACAUGUUUCAAAAUCAAUUACAUUAUGAUGACAAAAAUAAAUUGUUGACGGUUUAACGUCCCAUCCUCAAAGCGCUGAAGUUUUCCUGUUUCACUGAUUUCCUGAGAAUACAAGUAGUUUUGAAAGAGUGUCAACAAUUAAGUUGGUGAGUUCAUAAGAGUUUUGUUUGAAGUAGAAACCGUUUUCCUUGUAAAAUCGAUAGAGUUUGAUUUCCAGAAAAUCCAAUAUUUUCUUAGUUAAGUGUGAAUAGAAUAUUCCUAUAUGAUACAUUAAUGAACCCUAGAAUGACCCAUAGACUUCUCCUAUAAUCGUCCAGCGUAUAUAACUUAUAUAAGAUAUUAGUUGAUAAAACGUUGAAUAUAAUGGGUCUGCCCUAGGUCCACAACCAAACAAGGAACAGGAGAUGAGGCGGGCCCACCAAUUCUAAGCCAAUCACGACUAGAUUCUAUAUAACUCUAGCAUAUACACUUAGAAAUUAUAGUUGAAAACUAACAAUGCGAAAGUGAACGUGGACUUAAACCCAAUAACCGGAACCAAUCCUAGUGUAGUGUACGAAAUAGUAAUAGUGACUGUGAACAUAAACUAUACAUAUCAUAGUUCAUCAGAUAGUGAUAGUGACUAGUGAACAUGAACUAUGCAUAUUAUAGUUUACCAAAAGUGGUGGUGAUGGUGAAUAUAACCUAUACAUAUCAUAGUUCAUCAAAUAGUGAUAGUGGUAGUGAACAUGAACUAUGCAUAUUAUAGCUUAUCAAAAGUGGUGGUGAUGGUGAAUUCCUUUCUUGUAAUUAAGUUCAUAGGGUAGAUGAAACAUAAACUAUACCUAUUAUAGUUUAUCACUUUGUUUGUAAUAUAUAUAUGCCAUAACUAUACCGAUUAUAACUAGCGUGUUCGUUUGUGGGGGUAUAAUGGCUUAACUAUACUUAUUAUAGUUUAUCAUAAUUAUCCAUAGUGGUAAUAACUCUUUUGUAUGUGUAAAACCUUUAAUCAUGUGUUUGUUAUGUAAAAUAACCCUAAACUAUACCUAUUAUAGUUUAUUAAUUAUUUGUGUGGGUAGUGAGCAUAAGCCUUACUUGUCAUAAUUUACCAAUGUUUAUAUUUUAAUGGAUAUAGCCUUGUAAUAUCAUUUAUAUAUUUACCAUACUUGUGGAGGUAUAAAUCCAUUUGUUUUCUGAUGUAUGUCUAUAUAAGAAUACAAAAUUGUCAUAUAUUGCAACAACACAUAAUCACAUAAUGAUGUAUACCUUGCUCAACAUGUUACAAGGUGAAAUGAAAUUUAUAGUGUUUUUCUGUUAAUAACAUUUUCUGUAACUGUUAUUGGAAAAUUUGUAGAAAAAUCAUAAAAUGUCCAAAUCAAGUUCUGUAACUUCUGAGAGUUUGGAAAAUGAGUCUAGUUUGUUCAUAAUUUUUAUUAUAAUUUUUAAUGACUUCUUACUUGUGUGAAAAAGUCCAUAAUCACAGACUGGUCCGGAUUGAUGUUUGAAAUGAUAGGCAAUUUUGUAAAAAUCACCAUAAAUUUUAGAAAAAUCGUAUAGAGAUGUGCAAGUAGUCAUUUUAAAGCUAAGAAAUGGACCUACAUGCACCUAAAACAGUUUUGAUAACUAAAACGUUUAAGUUGUCCAAAACAGUCCAUGAAUGGGGUUGAACUUUUCUGAUGAAGGCUGUUAGAAAAGUUUAGUUAUGUUCUUGAUGUUUUAACUUGUAUCCCCCCUUUAAAACUUAAGAAAAACAUGAAAAGAUACUCACCUUGAGUGAUUUCAGUAGAUGGAUGAUGGAGAAAAGAAAUGUUCAACUCAAGAACACUUGAGAGGUGCUUGAAGAUUUGAAGAUCUAACACAAAUAUGACGAUGUUUGUGUAAGCAAUCUAUGAUUUGGAUGAAAGAUAGUAGAAUAUNGAUUUUGAGUAGGAGGAUGUGUAAUAAUCAUAAGAAAGAUGAUGAUACUUACUAAUUGUAGGAGAAAAGUCUUGGAGUAUGCCUUGAAAUUCUCGAAUUAGAGAGAGAGAAAGAUGAGAGAGUUUGGAGUGCGGUUCUUGGUAAAAAUGAGAGAAUGAUUGAAGUGUGAGGAGAGAGGAUGGAUGUUUCAGCCCUAAGAACGUGGGAAUAGUUGAAAAUAAUGAGAAAUGACCUAUGAAGUGACUAGGGAUGGGCUGGUGGUGAAUAGUGACAUGGAGUGGGUAUGGGAGUGGUUGCUUGUNUGUCUACCUUUGUACUUCACCCACUCUCUUUUGGAUAAGAUUUCAUCCUUAAAAAUGUGAUUAAUUAAUAGUUAAGGGUCCUUACAUGUNNNNNNNNNNNNNNNNNNNNNNNNNNNNNNNNNNNNNNNNNNNNNNNNNNNNNNNNNNNNNNNNNNNNNNNNNNNNNNNNNNNNNNNNNNNNNNNNNNNNAUAUAUAUAUAUAUAUAUAUAUUUAUGUUUUAUUUAUUGAUAAUAAUAUUCUGAGUACAUGGAAAAUUGCCUUCAUAAGGCAUACAAAUACUUGUAGUGAAAUAAAAUCUAGCAGAGUCAUGACUCCAUGAGUAGUGUAAUCACUUAAUCAUGUUGUCAGUAAUACAUAGGGAAGUGCAUAGCGGAAAACCGAUAUGGUAGCAAAUAAACAAGUACUAGUCGCGGCGAGUAGAGUCUGGUGGUGCUGACGAUGAGGUAGACGCGCCCUGGAGUUCGGCUAACCUGCGUUCGGUGAUCCGUACAUGCUCCUCCAAAGCGGUGUGUCGCUCCUGGUAUUCCCUGACCUCCACUCGUGCAGUGGCAAGAUCUCCUAUGAGUCGUUCCACUGGAUAGAAGUCUUGUUCUAGGUCUCGCGUGCGAGCAUCGGUAACCUGCAUAGCCGCCCGCAUCAGCAUUACCCGGUCGGUAGUUACUUGAGCCUGGUCGCCGAUGUCCCUAAUACGUUUGACCACGACAGGGAGUGCGCGAUCCGAUGGUCCUCCAUGUUGGAGGUUGUAGUUACCUCGGUUCAUGCCAAAUGGUGGUUGUUGUCCCUGGCGUCGGCCCCACCCCUCAAUAUCGUCAGUCCAAGGAGGUGUAGGGCCAUAUUUGUCACACCCCCAAACCAGAACGGUGGAAUUGUUCGAGGGCGGAUGACUUCAUGUAGUAUCCUAAAAGUUGAAUACAUAGUAAAGAAAGUAAAACAACCAUCAUAUAUAGAAUUUAAAAGUUACAUUGCUGAAUGAUACUUGUUUCAAAACAAGUUACAAUAUGAUGACAAAAUGAGUUUUAAACUGACGCCUUAGCGUCACUUCUCCAAAAGAUGAAGUUCACCUGUAUUACUGAAUCUCUGAGAAAUACAAGUAAAUUUAAAAGAGUAGAUCAGCGUUUAAGUUGAUGAGUUCAUAAGUAUUUAAUGUCAAUGUUUGUAUAAAUUUGAAUGAAAAUCUUUGUAGAUGUUUGAAAACUCCUAGAAAAUCCCAUAUUUCCUACUAGUAUAAAAGUAGUCUUCUACUAAGACCCGAUGGUUUUUGAAUGUUUGCUUCUAGAAAUCAAAUAUUUUUCCAUAAGUGUGUGGUAGUUUAAAAGUUCCAAAACUGUAAUGUAAUAGUCUUUUUCAUGCCUAGAAUAGUAGAUUUAUGUAUGUAUAAAAUCACUAAGGCAUUUGAUAAACCCGUAAAUCAACAUGUUUUUAAUACUCCAUGUGAGUUUUAUAACCAUGCUAUUGACCCAGACCGCCCGUGACAACGUUCUUUAGGCGUUGGAAUGUUAUGACAUUUGUCACCUUAGACCUGUCGGUCUAACUAUGACAACCCGAUAUUUCAACUCUUUGUAAUGGCCUAAUAAGUCNNNNNNNNNNNNNNNNNNNNNNNNNNNNNNNNNNNNNNNNNNNNNNNNNNNNNNNNNNNNNNNNNNNNNNNNNNNNNNNNNNNNNNNNNNNNNNNNNNNNAGUAAGCAACAAGUCAAAACUUACCAAACCGUUACUAGAAUCAAAGACAAGAAUUUAAAUACUAUAGGUGUAUUUGCUACCUAAACUAGUUUAACUUACAUGUUUUGCAANAAGCAACAAGUCAAAACUUACCAAACCGUUACUAGAAUCAAACACAAGAAUUUAAAUACUAUAGGAGUAUUUGCUACCUAAACUAGUUUAACUUACAUGUUUUGCAAGUUUCAACUUUAUUCAACUCCUAUAACCCUAUUUCUCGUACAGUCAAAUGGCUGGAUUUCACCACCCUGGCGACCCCUACUUUCCCAACCAAGGCAACGGAGGAUGGGUCGAAGAUGAUCCCGAAGAGGACGAGGAACCCAUAGAAGUGGAUGAUGACUCCGGUACCGACUCAGAACCGGAAGUGAUCGAUCCACCACCAGUUCAACCUCCCGUCUUUGUAAGGAACUUUCAAGGACCGACUCCCGUCUGGGGAAGUCACCUCCAUCAUUGGAGCCAACAAGAAAACUUACGCCCUCCCUACGGCAUGUGCCGGGACUUCUAUGAUGUCCGCGGCGGAGGUUCGGCUGAUCGGGCACUCCCGGUAAUGGUGGGUAAGCUAGCCAAUCAGUCCUAUCAGUCCGGAGUUCAAGCUAGCCGACUCCGGGAUGUCAACGUGGAAGUGCAGGUUCACACUUCUGACAUCCGUAGGCUGGACAAGAUACAAGACAAUGCUCAACUCCAAACCGAGGCAUUCCAAGCGCAAAUGAUUGCAGCCCUCGCUGAACUGAGGGAACAACAAGCCGCUUUUGAUAGGCGUCUAAUGGAGUCGAAGCAAUCAGAUGCAGAGUCAAGCUCCAAGCGCAACCUACGUCGCAAGUAGUGCUUGUCAAAGACUCAAAUUUUGUUAUAGCUUAGGACCUCGGCUAAAAGUCUUUAAAUUUCUCGAACUUUGUAAUCGGAGACCCUUAUAGGGGUCAAAUUUUCAUGAUCGUUGUAUCAACUUUUAUAUUAAUAUAAGUGACACUAUUAUUACUACGUUGAGUAUUUCGUUCAAACCUUGAAAAGUCUUUGAGAAACCAAAUACUUGUUUCAUACUUUCAGUCUUACAAAUAACUUUCAUUCUUCUAUUUUAAGACUCAUACUAGCAUCUGUUGUUGAACUAUAGCAAUUUAGUUCAUGAGACACAUUAAUUUUCUAUUCUAUGGAAUUCUUAUCUUUACCUUUUCAACCUAUAGUUGAAGGAUGCCUCCGCGUAGGAAUCCAAGGCGAAGCAACGGUGGGGAAGCACCUGUACCACCACCACCUCCACCACCUCAAUUUGAUGCUGUUAUGUUCCAAGCAGCAGUCACCGCAGCGGUAGCAGCUGCCAUGUCACAGAUCAAUAACUCGAGUACUAAUGGCUCGGGAUCUGGCACACACCCAUCCAACCAUGGCGAGAGUCAUGGACCACCCCGAGAAUGCACCUAUAAGGACUUUACUAAUGCCAAGCCCCGGAUGUUUUAUGGAUCUGGUGGUGUGAUAGCCCUGAGACAGUGGAUUGAAAGGACAGAGUCAGUCUUUGAAAUCUGCUCCUGUCCCGAGCACAACAAAGUCAAAUUUGCAACUUUCACCCUUAUUGAUAGAGCUUUAACUUGGUGGAAUGGCCACGUUAAAGUACUUACCCUGAUAGUGGCAAACUCCAUAAGCUGGGAGAGCCUAAAAGCCAUGAUGAUGAGAGAAUACUGCCCACGGGGAGAGAUUCAAAAGCUCGAACACGAACUAUGGACUCUCGGAAUGGUUGGUACCGACAUCGCAACUUAUACCAACAGAUUCUGCGAUCUGGCAAUCCUUUGCCCAGAUAUGAUUGCUCCCGAGAGCAAGAAAAUAGAAAGGUACAUCUGGGGACUGACGCCCCAAAUACGAUCAAGCGUGUUAGCUUCCAAACCUGACACCUUUGAAAGUGCUAAGGAACUGGCACAAUCUCUGAUUGACUACGGAGGUCAUCAGAACUCAACCGUUUCUGCACCAGAACCACAGAAAGGAAACAACAACAACAACAACAACAACAACAACAACAACAACAACAACAACAACAGCAAGAAGAGAGUAUGGAAUAAAGGGAAGGGUGGGUCUUCCCAAGAAUCCGCAAAGAAACAACUGGUUUCAGUGAAUGCUGCCACUGUACCUACUACAGCUCCUACAAAUACCUACCCAACAAAGCCUUAUGUAGGUAACCUCCCAAAGUGCACCAAAUGCAAUUACCACCACCAUGGACCUUGUCGGGAAAUGCAGUGCGCCAACUGCAACAGAAAGGGACACACAGCCCGUUUCUGCAAGGACCCCGCAAAGCCGAUCACUCAAGUUCCCAGUGCGGGUGUAGGGCAGACUUGCUACGGUUGUGGCGAGGUGGGCCACUACAAGAGGAACUGUCCUAAGGCAGCAGGCACCGGAGGUGUGGGACGAGUUUUGGCAAUAGGCCACGACGAAGCUGUAGCUGACCCAACUAUAGUUGCUGGUACGUUCCUUCUCGAUAAUUCAUAUGCAUGCAUAUUAUUCGAUAGUGGAGCGGAGAGAAGCUUCGUGAGUCAAAACUUUAUUCAUUUACUUAAACCUAAACCUAGCAAGUUAGAAAAAUCAUUCACUGUAGAGAUGGCCAAUGGAAAAACCGAAAACACUAACUGCAUAUACAUGGGCUGUACGUUAACUUUAGACGGCCAUUCUUUUCCAAUCAAUCUCAUGCCGGUCCAAAUUAAAAGUUUCGACGUCAUAGUCGGCAUGGAUUGGUUGAGUCUUCUUCGCGCCGACAUCAUGUGCUUUGAGAAAGCAGUCCGUCUUAAUCUCCCUAACAACGAAACAUUAGUUAUCUACGGCGACAAAUCUAGUACAAACCUUCGCAUCAUUUCGUGCAUCCAAGCUCGAAAGUGCUUGCGGAAGGAUUGUCGAGCAUUCCUAGCGCACAUCGUUGAUACAAGUCAAGAACUGAAGGACAUCAAGAGCAUCUCGGUAGUACGCGACUUUCCCGAUAUCUUUCCAGAAGAACUACCAGGAUUACCACCGCAACGCCAAGUCGAGUUCAGAAUCGACUUAGUUCCAGGAGCUACCCCAGUAGCGAAGUCGCCUUAUCGUCUCGCACCAGCAGAGAUGCAGGAACUUUCCAGUCAACUUAAUGAACUCCUUCAAAAAGGAUUCAUAAGACCAAGUUUCUCACCUUGGGGAGCACCGGUCUUGUUUGUAAAGAAGAAAGACGGAUCGUUCCGUAUGUGCAUCGACUACAGAGAGCUGAACAAACUUACUGUCAAGAACCGCUAUCCUCUACCCCGUAUUGACGACCUAUUCGAUCAACUUCAAGGGGCGAACUACUUCUCCAAAAUAGACCUGCGAUCCGGAUAUCACCAAUUACGAGUUCUAGAGGGGGACAUUCCAAAGACAGCUUUCCGAACUCGUUAUGGACACUACGAAUUCGUAGUGAUGCCGUUCGGAUUAACCAAUGCACCAGCAGUAUUUAUGGACCUAAUGAAUAGGGUAUGCCGCCCUUACUUGGAUCAGUUCGUCAUCGUCUUUAUCGAUGAUAUACUUAUCUACUCUCGAAGUGAGGAAGAGCAUAGUCAACACCUACGAAAAGUCCUAGAAACACUGCGAACGGAGAAACUCUAUGCGAAGUUCUCUAAAUGCGAAUUUUGGAUUCGAAGAGUCGAAUUUUUAGGUCACGUUGUUAGCGAGAAAGGUAUACACGUGGACCCCUCCAAAAUUAAGGCUAUUGAGAACUGGUCGGCACCAAAGACACCUACAGAAAUUCGUCAAUUUCUAGGUCUAGCUGGCUACUAUCGCAGAUUCAUAAAGAACUUUUCGAGCAUUGCGAAACCUCUUACUUCAUUAACCCAGAAAGGUGUGGCCUUUGACUGGGAAGCGAAACAAGAGAAGGCAUUCCAGACACUAAAGCAGGCCUUGUGCACCGCACCGAUACUAUCCCUCCCCGAAGGGAUAGAAGACUUCGUAGUGUAUUGCGAUGCUUCAAAUCAAGGACUUGGUUGUGUUCUUAUGCAGAGAGGGAAGGUUAUCGCUUAUGCCUCCCGACAGCUUAAGACACACGAAGUGAACUAUACGACACACGAUCUCGAGUUAGGAGCAGUGGUAUUUGCUCUGAAGAUCUGGAGGCACUACUUAUACGGAACAAAGAGUACUAUUUUCACCGAUCACAAGAGCCUUCAACACAUUUUCGAUCAGAAGGAACUCAACAUGCGACAACGACGAUGGGUUGAGUUACUGAAUGACUACGAAUGCGAAAUUCGUUAUCAUCCUGGCAAGGCCAACGUAGUAGCCGACGCCCUCAGUCGAAAGGAAUACACUGGUCGGAGGGUCAAAUCUCUGACCAUGACUAUCCAUUCCCACUUAUCCACACAAAUUAAGGAAGCACAAAUGGAAGCUUUGCAACCUGAAAAUGUGGCGGGUGAAUCCCUGCGAGGAAUGGAGAAGAAUUUAGAAGUCAAGGGUGGCGGAGCCUACUAUCUCAUGGACCGAAUCUGGACCCCAAAUCAUGGUGGUUUCAGAAACGUAGUCAUGACCGAGGCUCACAACUCAAGAUAUUCCGUUCACCCGGGUUCAGAUAAAAUGUAUCUGGAUCUUAAGAAACUGUACUGGUGGCCUAACAUGAAAGCAGAAAUUGCUACCUUCGUGAGUAAAUGUCUUACUUGCGCUAAGGUUAAGGUCGAGUAUCAGAAACCGUCAGGACUACUACAACAACCAGAGAUACCGGAAUGGAAAUGGGAGCGGAUUACUAUGGACUUCAUAACCAAGUUACCCAAGACGACAAGUGGACUCGAUACCAUAUGGGUCAUUGUCGACAGAUUGACCAAAUCCGCACAUUUCCUACCCAUCAAGGAGACUGACAAAAUGGAGAAGCUUACAAGAACUUACUUAAGGGAAGUAGUGCGACUGCAUGGUGUUCCGAUAUCCAUUAUCUCCGAUCGAGAUAGUAGAUUCACUUCAAGAUUCUGGCAGUCACUACAAAGUUCCCUGGGAACUAGGCUAGACAUGAGUACAGCCUACCACCCACAGACAGACGGACAAAGUGAGAGAACAAUACAAACUUUAGAAGACAUGCUGAGAGCCUGCGUGAUUGACUUUGGAAAGGCAUGGGAUAUUCAUUUACCCCUUGUCGAAUUUUCAUACAACAAUAGUUAUCAUACAAGCAUAAAGGCUGCUCCGUUUGAAGCCCUCUAUGGUCGAAAGUGCAGAUCCCCUCUGUGCUGGACUGAAGUUGGCGAUACCCAGUUAGCUAGAGGAAGAGUUCCUGAAAGCACUCUCACCGGUCCGGAGAUCAUACGUGAAACAACAGAGAAGAUCGUUCAGAUUCGUGAACGAUUGAAAGCCUCAAGAGACCGACAGAAAAGCUACGCUGACCAAAGGAGGAAACCUUUGGAAUUCCAGGUAGGAGACCACGUCUUAUUAAAGGUCUCACCGUGGAAGGGUUUAAUACGAUUUGGAAAGCGUGGGAAACUAAAUCCAAGAUACAUAGGGCCUUUCGAGAUUCUUGCCAGAAUCGGCCCUGUGGCUUACAAGCUUAACCUACCGCGCGAACUUAGUAACAUCCAUCCAACCUUCCACGUCUCAAACUUGAAAAAGUGUCUGUCCGACGAGACUCUUGUUAUUCCACUCGACGAGAUCGAGAUCAACGAGAGCCUCAACUUUGUGGAAGAACCAGUAGAAAUCAUGGACCGAGAGGUCAAACAAACAAAACAAAGUCGCAUACCCAUCGUGAAGGUUCGCUGGAACGCCAAGCGGGGACCCGAAUUCACAUGGGAACGCGAAGAUCAGAUGAAACAAAAGUACCCUCAUCUCUUUCAUGUUCACUAGUAUCUUUACUACUUUAAAUUUCGGGACGAAAUUCUCUCUAACGGGGGGAUGAUGUGACAACCCGAUAUUUCAACUCUUUGUAACGACCAAAAUGGGUCAAGUAUUGUAACCACUUCUGAAUAAUAAAAAGUUACUUUCAUAAUAAAAUGUAUAAAUAAGUUCUACUUAAUUUCCUUCUAUGAUUAAAUGUCUUUGAACCAUGAUCGUACGUGAAAAGAACGCCCAAAUCCGACUUCAUAUAGCGAAGUUAUGAUUUUUCCAAGUUCGGCUUAGCAACAGACAGCUAAAAACUCGAAUCGGAGAUCGAGCGACUUUUGGCCGGAAUGACCUAAACGAGAAUCGAAGGUCUCGACAAUGGUAUUCCAGCGGUAAAAAGUCUGGCAAAAACCGACAUCAGAUAAAGAAGUUAUGAAUUUUCAAAGAAAUUCCUUAAACACGAUGGGUUUUUAAUAAAUAAUAAAAAUAUAAUUUUGGAAUUUGCCGACGGAGUCUAAACGAAAGUUGUAGAGCGUAGUCUCACCUACGCGAGGAUAUAAAGACCAUCGAAAACGGAGUUCGUAUGAAGAAGAUAUGAAUUUUUGAAGUUUAUUAAAUAAAUUAAUUAUUUAUUUAAUUCAAAAUUCGGAUAUUAUCCGAAGGGGAGUCAGCAUCCUCCUCCGAGGUACGCGCUGCGUACCCCUGUACGCCCCGCGUAACCGAGAGGAUUGGCCUCUGAUCGUCCACGUCGCGCUAUCCGAAGAAACCGACCCAUCCGACCCGUCCGAAGCCCCGACCCGUCCGACCCGACGUCCCAUCCGACCCGGCGUCCCAUCCGACCCGCGUACCCAGCAACCCGUCCCAUCCGAACCGAGGCAGUCGAGGCUUCGGUCAUGCAUGACGUACGCGUACGCGCUGCGUACGAGCGUACGCCCCGCGUACCGAGGCAGACCAGCCUUACUAUAAAUAGGAUGCGAGGGUUUCCAAAGAAAGGGUUCAUUUCUCUUCUCUCUCUCUCAACUUUGCCUCGUUUUCCGUGUCCGUUCAAACCCGAAGCUCUGGUCUUUUUGGCUCAAGUCCCGAAGGUCGAUUUUACUCCCGAGAUUCCCGAGAAUCCCGAGGAAAAUCCGUUUCCCGAGACGAAACUCUGCCCGGUUUUCCAUCUCGCUAUCUCCAAAACUUUCAAGUGAGUUUCAUACCCCUUAAUCAACCUUUUUAAUUAUUCUAAAUACUUUUAUAUGCUUUCAAGGGGGGGAUUACAAGUAAAACACACGAGUAUUAUCGUGUGUUACAUAAAGAAACUCUUUUAUAUACUGUUAUAUAUUCAAAUCACAUGCGAUUUAUAAACAUUUAAAGGAACUUUUAUAUAUAUAUAACAUAUGUCACAAUAGCAUUUUACCUUUUAAAAUAUAAUGUUGUUGUAAUGCAUGUAUAAACUAAACUGUUCUUAGAUUUUUCUUGUCUAUCCUAGACUCUACACCAAAAAUCUAUACUUUCAUAAACAAGUGAUUCCUUUUCUCAAUAUUUCUAAACAAACAAGACACGCUUUUUGGAAACUAUAAUAGGUAUAGUUUUACGAACAGAUUUCUAACUCUUAUGUACUAGAAACACAUAUUUCAAGAAGUUUACUUUCGUAUACAAGAACAAACGUAACAUUUUAACAAGUAGAUCUGUUUUUAUACCACGGAUUUGUGAGACACUAACUUCAUGUACGUUCGAGUACACAUUUCAAGUCCUGUAUUAUAUACCAGAAUCCCUUGGAGGGGGAGCAUGGUGUUUGUGUAUAGAUCUAUACGGGCUUGACAACCCGCGCCCUGACUGUUAGCUGCAGUCCACCGUUUGGGGUGACAAACGUCAUAACAUUCCAACGCCUGAAGAACGUUGUGUAUAGGCAUUCCGAGUCAAUAGUAUGGUUAUAAAACUCACAUGGGGUAUUAAAAAUGCAUUGAUUUACAAGGUUUUCAAACACAUUGGUUAUUUUACACUUACAUACAUUUUAGAAACAAACAUUGGGCUUGAGAGAAGGCUACUUUUAUACUAGUAGAAAAUAUAGGAUUUCCUAAACACAACACAACCAAGGACAAAACAUUUCAUUUCAUACAAACAUUGUCAUUUAAAUACUUAUGAAACUCACCAGCUUAAAUGCUAAUCUACUCUUUCAAAAUUACUUGUAUGUCCCAGGGAAUCAGUAAUUUCAUGUAUCAUUAUGCUUUUGAUGAAGGGAUGCUGCGGCGCCAGUUUAAUCUCAUAUUUUGACAUCAUAUUGUAAUUGGUUUUGAACAUGUAACUUUUGACAAAUGUAAACUUUCAAUUAUAUAUAUGAUGGUUGUAUUGCUUUCUUUACUAUGUAUUCAAUUGUUACGUUGCCACAUGAAGUCAUCCGCCCCCGAACGUUUCCGCCGUUCAGGUUUGGGGGUGUGACACUAACUGUAGCUAACAGUUUAGGUGCAUGAUUGUCAAUCCCAUAUAGAUCUAUACACAAGUAUCACGCUCUCCCUAUAAGAGAUUAUAGUAUAUAAUACAGGACUUUAACUGCAUACUUGAAAGUACGUGAUGUUGAAUGUCUCACAAAACUUAGUAUCAAAUAGAUUUAUGUAUGAAAAGUCCAAUUAUUCUUGUAUAUGAAAGUAUUUCGUUGAUAUAGUAAUUAUAGUACGUAAAAUCUUAUGAAUAUCUAGUAAACUAUAUCUAUUAUAGUUUUUCCAAAUGUGUGAUUCGUUUGUAUGAUAAACCCUAGUGUAGUGUCGACUUUGUGUGUAAAGUAUAACAUUUGUAAUACCAUUAUUCAACAUUUAUACUCAAAAUGUAAAUAAAGUGUUUGAUAUUUAUAUAACAACAUGUUUCAUUCCAAAAAGACAAAGUGCUAUCAUGAUAUGUUGUAUGAGAAUGUUUUCAUAUGAUAGUUAUAAAUCACAUAUGAUUUAUUAUAUAACAAA
RNAcentral lists this long non-coding RNA (36917 nucleotides) under Lactuca sativa (garden lettuce). RNAcentral's name for it is "long non-coding RNA (LSAT_LNC005246)". Lineage: Eukaryota; Viridiplantae; Streptophyta; Magnoliopsida; Asterales; Asteraceae. The record is from RNAcentral.